GCGUACCGGUGGGCCAGCAGGACGGCGGCUCGGCCAUCGCCGGGGUUGAGUGUCGGGCGUUCCACACGCUCUGAUACGCACC
Molecule: transfer RNA, 82 nt
Filed under: Phycisphaeraceae bacterium
Lineage: Bacteria; Pseudomonadati; Planctomycetota; Phycisphaerae; Phycisphaerales; Phycisphaeraceae
Description: tRNA-Asp
Source: RNAcentral